Molecule: long non-coding RNA, 416 nt
Filed under: Malus domestica (apple)
Lineage: Eukaryota; Viridiplantae; Streptophyta; Magnoliopsida; Rosales; Rosaceae
Description: long non-coding RNA (MDOM_LNC015841)
Source: RNAcentral
GAUUAAGAAUGCAUACUUAAUUUACAUGCAUGAAUUUGAUGCUAGAAUAUAAGUGAAUUUCACCUAAUCGUUAUAAACUUAUAUUCAUAAGUAGUGAAGGUUGCUAGUCACAAUCACGUUAAGUAAAUUCUAGGCUGGAUUAACAUGCGUAUUCCAUAGUUAUGAAUGUCUAGUCAAUGCUUAUGAUUUCCAUUAAACUUAAUGAUCUUUGAUAUAUGUCUCUAUCAUGCGUAUUCCAUAGUUAGGGUCCUUGAUAAGAAUAAUUUGGUUGUAAUGCGUAUCCCAUUCAAUUCAAUGAAUCUAGGGAAAUCUGAGAAUUAAUUGGUCGAUCUAGUUAAUUUGGGGCAUUGAGAUUUACAAUUUAUUGAAAGAACAACUGAAAAUCAAUUUAGGUUGCAUAUGUGUCAUGUGUGGAG